UACGUAGGGUGCAAGCGUUAAUCGGAAUUACUGGGCGUAAAGCGUGCGCAGGCGGUGAUGUAAGACAGUUGUGAAAUCCCCGGGCUCAACCUGGGAACUGCAUCUGUGACUGCAUCGCUGGAGUGCGGCAGAGGGGGAUGGAAUUCCGCGUGUAGCAGUGAAAUGCGUAGAUAUGCGGAGGAACACCGAUGGCGAAGGCAAUCCCCUGGGCCUGCACUGACGCUGAGGCGCGAAAGGCUAGGGGAGCAAACAGG
Molecule: ribosomal RNA, 254 nt
Filed under: uncultured bacterium
Lineage: Bacteria
Description: partial 16S ribosomal RNA
Rfam family: Bacterial small subunit ribosomal RNA
Source: RNAcentral